This 468-nucleotide ribosomal RNA is filed under the name uncultured bacterium. RNAcentral describes it as "partial 16S ribosomal RNA". It matches the Rfam family "Bacterial small subunit ribosomal RNA", at positions 28 to 507 of the family's 1533-position model. The record is from RNAcentral.
GACGAACGCUGGCGGCGUGCUUAACACAUGCAAGUCGAACGGAAAGGCCCUGCUUUUGUGGGGUGCUCGAGUGGCGAACGGGUGAGUAACACGUGAGUAACCUGCCCUUGACUUUGGGAUAACUUCAGGAAACUGGGGCUAAUACCGGAUAGGAGCUCCUGCUGCAUGGUGGGGGUUGGAAAGUUUCGGCGGUUGGGGAUGGACUCGCGGCUUAUCAGCUUGUUGGUGGGGUAGUGGCUUACCAAGGCUUAGACGGGUAGCCGGCCUGAGAGGGUGACCGGCCACAUGGGGACUGAGGUACGGACCAGACUCCUACGGGAGGCAGCAGUGGGGAAUCUUGCACAAUGGGCGCAAGUCUGAUGCAGCAACGCCGCGUGCGGGAUGACGGCCUGCGGGGUGUAAACCGCUUUCGCCUGUGACGAAGCGUGAGUGACGGUAAUGGGUAAAGAAGCACCGGCUAACUACGUG